AGUGAACGCUGGCGGUAUGCCUAACACAUGCAAGUCGAACGGAAGCACAGUAAGAGCUCGCCCUUACGGUUGGCGAGUGGCGGACGGGUGAGGAAUACAUCGGAAUCUACUUUUUCGUGGGUGAUAACGUAGGGAAACUUACGCUAAUACCGCAUACGACCUACGGGUGAAAGCAGAGGAUCUUCGGACCUUGCGCGACUGAAUUAGCCGAUGUCGGAUUAGCUAGUUGGCGGGGUAAAGGCCCACCAAGGCGACGAUCCGUAGCUGGUCUGAGAGGAUGAUCAGCCACACUGGAACUGAGACACGGUCCAGACUCCUACGGGAGGCAGCAGUGGGGAAUAUUGGACAAUGGGCGCAAGCCUGAUCCAGCCAUACCGCGUGGGUGAAGAAGGCCUUCGGAUUGUAAAGCCCUUUUGUUGGGAAAGAAAAGCAGCAGGUUAAUACCCCGCUGUUCUGACGGUACCCAAAGAAUAAGCACCGGCUAACUUCGUG
This 492-nucleotide ribosomal RNA is filed under the name uncultured bacterium. RNAcentral's name for it is "partial 16S ribosomal RNA". It matches the Rfam family "Bacterial small subunit ribosomal RNA", at positions 29 to 507 of the family's 1533-position model. The record is from RNAcentral.